ACCACAACAGGUGGAGCCUGCGGUUAAUCGGACUCAACGCCGGGAAACUCACCAGAUAAGACAGCUGAAUGAUAGUCGGGCUGAAGACUCACUUGACUAGCUGAGAGGAGGUGCAUGGCCGUCGUCAGUUCGUACUGUGAAGCAUCCUGUUAAGUCAGGCAACGAGCGAGACCCACGCCAACAGUUGCCAGCUCGUCCUCCGGGAUGGUGGGGACACUGUUGGGACCGCCUCUGCUAAAGAGGAGGAAGGAAUGGGCAACGGUAGGUCAGCAUGCCCCGAAUUAUCUGGGCUACACGCGGGCUACAAUGGGUGGGACAAUGGGUAUCGACACCGAAAGGUGAAGGCAAUCUCCUAAACCCAUCCGUAGUUCGGAUUGUGGGCUGCAACUCGCCCACAUGAAGCUGGAAUCUGUAGUAAUCGUGUCUCAAAAUGGCACGGUGAAUAUGUCCCUGCUCCUU
RNAcentral lists this ribosomal RNA (459 nucleotides) under uncultured Methanomicrobiales archaeon. Its description in RNAcentral is "bacterial SSU rRNA". It matches the Rfam family "Archaeal small subunit ribosomal RNA", at positions 878 to 1338 of the family's 1478-position model. The record is from RNAcentral. Lineage: Archaea; Methanobacteriati; Methanobacteriota; Methanomicrobia; Methanomicrobiales.